UUGCAGUCUGUCCCAUAGCGCUACAUCCAUGCACAAUGCGCGUCUCCUUGUUGCCAUGGCGACAAGAUCUUCCAUUUUUCGGUCUAGUUGGGAGGCGUCUCAUACCCGCCCGUCGUAUUUAUACCCUCCCCUUAAAAUUGAGGCGCACUCCACAGCUGCGAGUGUGACUUAAUUACGAGUGACACUCGGUAGUGAAGGGUGAGUGUGUAGGGGGCGGUUUGGGAUUGGGCCGGAGUCUUUUUUGUGUGUGGAGUCUCCCUUUUUCCCCUCACAGAAGUUGGGCGGCUUCUCGUCAGCUGAAGCUCCUCCUGCACCUUCACACCUGCACCAGAUCAAGCUAAUCACAACCUGCUCUCAAACUCUGCUCUCUGACUGCUCAGUGCCUGAUUAUUCCCACUUGGUACAGUGGUAUCUAUGCCUCUAGUGAGUAUUUUUAAGAUUUUGAGACUUUUUCUGUGACUGCUCAGCCUGAUAUUUACCCCUGUUGUCUUCCUUCUCUUCUAGUACCUCCACCAGCCGCCAGCGCCUACCCAACCUCUGUCACGACUGCCACACUCUCUGUUCAGCUCCACUCACCUGUUGUCUUCUCCGGCUCACAUACAGCCUCACCCCUUCACCACGGAUCUCCUCCACCCCUUGGACAACGGACCUCUAGCCAUCCUGCACCUAUCCUUAUUAAUAAAACCAUUUAAAGCUUCCUCUGCCUCCACUGCCUGCUUUUGGGUCCCUUCAGGAAAAUAAACCAUUACAUCGAUGCCAGUAACAUUUCAAAAAUAUUUGGACGAAGAGGACAGAAAUGUGUGAUGCUUAAAAAUCCCUUGAGGAACACCUCCAAACUAAUCCGGCUAAUUUGCAACAGGUUAAUAACACCACUGAGAGUAAAAAAAUUGUGUUUCAGAGAAGCUGAGUCUCUCAAAAGUAAAGAUGGGGUGCAGUUUACCAAUCUGUGAGAACUGAGUGAUCACAUUUGUCAAUAAUGAAAUCUUAAAUAACACAAAAAUGGGACAACAAUUCACUUUCAAAACUCAAGAAACUUGAUCUCCAAAUGUUUUGCAUUUUGUUAAAAUAACAACAAUGCAACACAAUGAUAAACACAGCCCUGUCCCAAUGUUUUAAAAAAAAGUUAUUAACAUCAAAUUUAAGAUAUGAAAAUGUUUUAUAUUAAACAGUGGGGCUAGGGUAACAAAAGUCCAUAUUUGAAAUGUUGUCCUAGUAAGAUUUUCAUUUGAAUUUAGGCCUGAAAUGACUUUCAAAGCUUCGGUCUUCCACUUCAUCAACAUUUUACUCAAUAUCCAAACCUCUCAGUGAUGUAAAUGAUGCUGAUAUGCGAAUGUCUUGUUCUUUUGUAGACUGGAGACUCUCAGAGUUGUCUUCAUCCAGUGCUGCUGCUGAUGAUCUGGACAUAUAAUCAACCUUCACCCGCGGGAUUAAUGAGUGUGAAGGUAGGAUUGGGGGGGGUAGACGUGAUGGACUCUGCCACACCAUCCACCUGCAGGACCACCACUAUUUUCAGGUCUGCUAUUGGCCCCUCAAUCUCCUCUACAUCUGGAUCCACAUCUGCUGCCACCACCUCCAGGUCCACAACUGGCUCCUCAGUCCCCCUAACAUCCACAACUUUAAGUUCCACUGCUGACCAUGCUGUCCAGUGCACUUCUAUAUCCUCCUCCUCCUCACCUAGUCCCAGCCCAACUGGCUCGACCUUAUAUAGAAAGAAAAUAAGAGCAGAGAAAGACAGGGAGGUGCUCCGGAAGGCCAGGGACACAAGCCCCUAAUCUCAGCCUGCAGGUGUCUGUGAUAUCUGUGGCCAUGCUAGACACCACCAGGCCAAGCAUGAUUACUUCAGGGGCGAGUUCUUCUGCCCCUCUGAGAAGGGAUGCGAUUCAAAGACUCUGUGGGAACCAAUGGAUGGCACAGUGAAAGGGCUGGGCAGCCAGAUGGGAAAACAACAAGAAAACCAUAUAAGCUGCGGGUCUGCCAGAAGUUUGGUCAACCCUUUCAAAAGGAUUUUGGCCACAGCCAGCAUGCGGUGGGGAGGAAAAAGGCUUUCUUUUGUGCUCUGUAUGAGAAGAAAAGUGUUGAGCUGUGGCUGGCAGAAAGGAGGGCUGGGCAGGAGGAGGAGGAAAACAGAGGAGCCAGGCAAGAGGAGAAGGAAAGACCGGGGGGCCAGGUUGGAGGAGGAGGAGUGAAGGAGGGAAAGGAUAGAGGGCUCUUUUUUAGUGUAAACAAUGUUGAUAUUAUUCAUCUCAUUUUUUUGUAAAAGGUUUGAAUGUGGUUUGUGAUCAUUGUAGUUGUAUUUUUAGAUUUUACUACUUUUUUUAUGAGUAAAGCAGAAUCUGGUGACCAAUUUGUGUUUGCUGAAAUCUUGAGCAGGAACCAUCACUGUGGUGGGCAGCAUUUCAAGAUUAUUUACAGCUUUCACUUAAACAUCCGUUAUUACAAUAACCUGAUAACACAUGGAGAAAUAGAGAAAAAUUGACCAUGUCCACCACGGUUGUAAUUAAGAGCUGCAUGAUGUAACAUCACUUUGCUUACUUCUUAGCUGAAUCAUUACCUCCUGUGUUUUUUUUCUAAAGAACGGUAGAAUAUGUAUGUUGACAUAUUCUACCACAUUGUGUCACUUUUUAUCACCUUAUUUUAAGGAUUGUUUAAGGACUUAAAUCAUGAUUGGUAGUCACAGUGUAGAGUGUGAACCCUUAUCCAAGACUCCAAAUGCUUAUUUGCCUUGUUUAAUUCACUUAAUUCCUUAUUCUUUAAAUUUUCUUUCUUCUUUAUGUCCCUAAUUUCCCUUUCAAUCCGCCUUGAUAAUAUGCUGCGUGAACGACGCAGAGCCAAAGCUGCUUGUAUCCCUACUUUUAGGGCCCCUUCCCCUUUUCAGUCCUUGCCCCCAUGCUUCCCAGGGUCUCCGUGUGCUAUCGAAGCUUCCCCUGAGUCAAAUGAUUCCCCAUCAGCAAAGGAACCCAUGCAAGUGGCUGAAGCACACCUCACUCCAAAAGAACGGCAGCACCGUAUGAACUCAGGCCUCUGCAUCUACUGUGGCAAUUCUGGACAUUUCCUGGCUACCUGCCCCCAGCGACCAAAAGCCGAGGCUCAUCAGCAACCAAGGGGUCCCUGAUGAGCCACACCACCUCCUCCAUAGUGGCCCCUCCCAACUGAAUAUAUCUUCAGGCCUCUCUCCUCUGGAACAGUGAGUCAAUCCCUCUGAUUUCAUUAGUUGAUUCUGGGGCUGAUGAUAAUUUUAUUGAUUCUGCUAUUGUGAGCCAGGCUGGCAUUCCCACUGAACCCUUAGAUUCCCCCAAGACAGUUUGUACUCUUGACGGAAAGUUAUUGGCUAAAGUGACCCAUUGCACCACCCCUAUUACACUCUUAGUUUCAGGAAAUCACCGGGAAACAAUCAAGUUUUUUGUUCUCCCUUCACCUCAGGUCCCCAUUGUUCUUGGUUUACCCUGGCUUAGGUUACACAACCCCCACAUUGAUUGGUUUCAAGGUGCAAUUGUUAAUUGGAGAACUUUCUGCCACUCGAACUGUCUCAAGUCAGCCCUAGCCUUUCACUCCCUGAACUUCCAGAUUUAACCUCAGUGCCUCCAGAGUAUCAUGAUUUAGGUGAGGUGUUCAGCAGAUCACAAGCCCUUUCCCUUCCCCCUCACCGUCCUUAUGACUGUUCCAUUGAUCUGCUCCCUGGGGCCCCCUUACCAUCCAGCCGUCUGUAUGACCUCUCUAAACCUGAACGGGAAUCCAUGGAGAAGUACAUUCAUGAAUCUUUAGCUGCUGGUCUAAUCCGCCUCUCUUCUUCUCCUCUUGGUGCUGGUUUUUUCUUUGUGGAGAAGAGAGACAAGUCCCUACGCCCCUGCAUAGACUUCAGAGGUUUAAAUGCCAUCACUGUCAAAAAUAAGUACCCACUUCCCCUUAUUGAUUCAGCCUUUGAACCCCUGCAAAAUGCUACAGUCUUUUCCAAACUGGAGCUACGCAAUGCAUACCACCUAAUUCAAAUCAAAGAAGGAGAUGAGUGGAAGACAGCAUUCAACACCCCGCUGGGCCACUUUGAAUACCAAGUUAUGCCCUUUGGUCUAACAAAUGCCCCCGCUGUCUUCCAGGCUCUAGUAAAUGACGUGCUCCGGGACAUGCUCAACAAGUUCAUCUUUGUUUACCUGGAUGAUAUCCUCAUUUUUUCCAGGGACAUGCAGGAGCAUGUGCUACAUGUCAGGCUAGUUCUCCGCAGACUCCUCCAGAACAAACUAUUUGUUAAAGCGGAGAAAUGCGAAUUCCACGUCCCUUCAGUGAGCUUCCUGGGCUUCAUCAUUGAGCAGGGGCAGUUAAAGGCAGACCCAGCCAAAACCCAAGCAGUGAGAGACUGGCCCACACCUUCAAACCGUAAGCAACUGCAACGCUUUCUAGGUUUUGCCAACUUUUACAGACGCUUCAUUAGGAACUACAGUCAGGUUGCCACUCCACUCACCCAACUCACUUCCACCUCAUCUCCCUUUGCCUGGACCCCAAGAGCUGAAACGGCUUUCACCAAGUUAAAACAGCUGUUCUCCUCAGCCCCUGUCCUGACCCAUCCAGACCCCCAUCUUCAUUGUUGAGGUGGAUGCAUCAGAAUCUGGAGUUGGUGCAGUCCUUUCCCAGAGAUGUCCCGCAGAUCAAAAGUUACAUCCCUGUGCCUUUUUCUCCCAUCGACUCUCACCUGCUGAACGUAAUUAUGACGUUGGCAACCGUGAGUUAUUAGCUGUGGUUCUGGCAUUACAGGAAUGGAGACACUGGCUAGAGGGAACUGAGCAACCAUUUAUUGUCUGGACUGAUCACAAAAAAUCUAGCUUAUCUACAUUCAGCCCGGAGGCUCAAUUCUAGACAAGCUCGUUGGGCCCUCUCCCUUGGAAGAUUUGAGUUCUCCCUAACCUAUCGCCCCGGCUCAAGGAACAUCAAGCCUGAUGCCCUCUCCCGUCAAUCUGCCCCUGAGAUUGAGGAAACUCAGCCUGAGACCAUACUUUGGUCUCAGGCUGAGUUUGGUUUUGGUGGCCCACUAUGUCCCAGGAUACUUGUGCCUUUGUGUCCUCCUGUCUGUCUGUGCUCACAGCAAACCAUCCCACCAGGCUCCCGCUGGAUUGCUGCGCCCCCUGCCCACCCCAGGCAUCCUUGGUCACAUAUAGCUGUGGACUUUGUCUCAGGUUUGCCUCCUUCUGAAGGUAACACUACCAUCCUUACCAUAGUGGACCGGUUUUCCAAGGCUGUACACUUUGUUCCCCUAACUGUCGAGGUAAACCUCCAAAACUCAGAUUUGUACUCCCAAGAUGGCCACCCAUGGGACAUUCAAGAUGGCCGCCCCUUGGUACACCUAAAAUGGCCGCCCUGUACACCAAAGAUGGCCAACCUUUGGGUGUCAGCUGAUUAGGAACACCUGAAAAGCUGUGUGAGUUGUGGCAGAGAACAAAAGAGCAAACAACUUCAAGCAGAAGCAGCUCCACAAAAAGGACAAAGAAUCAAGAACCACUCAACUAUACAAGUUCCAUGACGCUAAUGGUCGGUAGUCUUUUCACUUACCUUGUGUGUUUGAAAUGUGUUAGAGAUGCUGCUUGUUAAGUGCUACUGUUAAAAUGUAUCGUGGGAAAAGGAAGUAUUGCAUUGCAGCAACAUUUGCUUUAAGUUUAAGUACUGAUUUGUUGGUAGAACUUUAUUUGAAAAGGCCCUAAUUUAUCUUGCUUAUUUGCUUAAGAAGAAGGUCUAAGUUAAAAGUUUAAAAUUUACUUACAUUGGAAUUUACUUACCUUUUACAAUUUAAAAGUUUAGUUUAAUCUAAAGACAAUUUAAAAUGCUUAAACAUAUCAUUUAAAGUUUAAACUCGAUGUACAAAAGUUACAAAAAUAAUUGAAUGUUUAACUUGAUAAGCUGCCUUAAAACACUUAGUUUAAAUAAAUUAAUUGGUUAAAACAUUGGUUGAUUAACUAAAAAUGUUUAAAUGUGUUUAAAUUAAUGGCAACAUUUAAAAUUUAAUUAUUGAAUUGUUAAAAGUGAUUUAUUCUUUGAUAUGGCAUGUUGCUAAUUGUUG
Xyrichtys novacula (pearly razorfish) is the source of this 6040-nucleotide non-coding RNA. The record is from the annotation of a GenBank genome assembly. Lineage: Eukaryota; Metazoa; Chordata; Actinopteri; Labriformes; Labridae.